RNAcentral lists this ribosomal RNA (600 nucleotides) under uncultured fungus. Its description in RNAcentral is "eukaryotic LSU rRNA". It matches the Rfam family "Eukaryotic large subunit ribosomal RNA", at positions 37 to 652 of the family's 3401-position model. The record is from RNAcentral. Lineage: Eukaryota; Fungi.
AGCAUAUCAAUAAGCGGAGGAAAAGAAACCAACAGGGAUUGCCUCAGUAACGGCGAGUGAAGCGGCAACAGCUCAAAUUUGAAAUCUGGCCCUCUCAGGGUCCGAGUUGUAAUUUGGAGAAGAUGCUUCGGGUGUGGCCCCGGUCUAAGUUCCUUGGAACAGGACGUCACAGAGGGUGAGAAUCCCGUACGUGACCGGUGGCCUCCCCCGUGUGAGGCUCUUUCGACGAGUCGAGUUGUUUGGGAAUGCAGCUCAAAAUGGGUGGUAAAUUUCAUCUAAAGCUAAAUAUUGGCCAGAGACCGAUAGCGCACAAGUAGAGUGAUCGAAAGAUGAAAAGCACUUUGGAAAGAGAGUUAAACAGUACGUGAAAUUGUUGAAAGGGAAGCGCUUGCAACCAGACUUGCGCGCGGCCGAUCAUCUGGUGUUCUCACCGGUGCACUCGGUCGUGCUCAGGCCAGCAUCGGUUUAGGUGGUUGCAUAAAGGCCUCGGGAAUGUGGCUCUCUUCGGGGAGUGUUAUAGCCCGAGGUGCAAUGCAGCCCACCUGGGCCGAGGACCGCGCUCCGGCUAGGAUGCUGGCGUAAUGGUUGUAAGCGACCCGU